RNAcentral lists this ribosomal RNA (305 nucleotides) under uncultured bacterium. RNAcentral describes it as "bacterial SSU rRNA". It matches the Rfam family "Bacterial small subunit ribosomal RNA", at positions 333 to 652 of the family's 1533-position model. The record is from RNAcentral.
UGUUACCUACGGGAGGCAGCAGUGGGGGAUAUUGGACAAUGGGGGAAACCCUGAUCCAGCGACGCCGCGUGAGUGAAGAAGUAUUUCGGUAUGUAAAGCUCUGUCAGCAGGGAAGAAAGAAAUGACGGUACCUGACCAAGAAGCCCCGGCUAACUACGUGCCAGCAGCCGCGGUAAUACGUAGGGGGCAAGCGUUAUCCGGAAUUACUGGGUGUAAAGGGAGCGUAGACGGUGAUGCAAGUCUGGAGUGAAAGGCGGGGGCCCAACCCCCGGACUGCUCUGGGAACUGGUUAACUUGAGUGCAGG